This 253-nucleotide ribosomal RNA is filed under the name uncultured bacterium. RNAcentral's name for it is "partial 16S ribosomal RNA". It matches the Rfam family "Bacterial small subunit ribosomal RNA", at positions 524 to 776 of the family's 1533-position model. The record is from RNAcentral.
UACGUAGGGUGCGAGCGUUGCCCGGAUUUAUUGGGCGUAAAGGGCGCGCAGGCGGCUACGCACGUCCGUUGUGAAAUCGCUCGGCUCAACUGGGCGGGGUCAGCGGAUACGGCGUAGCUGGAGCAAGCUAGGGGGCAAUGGAAUUCCCGGUGUAGUGGUGGAAUGCGUAGAUAUCAGGAAGAACACCAAUGGCGAAGGCAGCUCUCUGGGACGGUACUGACACUGAGACGCGAAAGCGUGGGGAGCGAACAGG